AUGGAGGGCCCCAAGGGAAACGGCGGCGAGAAGCACAGCGCGGACCAAAACCAUAGCCCCAAUACUCCCGCCGCAGCCGGGGCCGGAGGGGACGACGUGUCGGCCGCCGCGGCGGCCGCGGUAGGGAGGCGGCCGUUCACCGCCUUAAGCCAGGAGGAGGCCGACCUCGCCCUCGCGCGCGUCCUCCAGGAGCAGGAGCGGGCGUACAUGAUGCUGAGCGCGCACGGCGGGGACGGCAGCGAGUACGAUGCCUCGGACGCUGGGAGCUACGACUACUACGACGAGGAAGAGGAAGGGAUCGAAGGCGACGAGGGGAGCGAUUACGAGGAGGAGGGGGAUGAGGACGAGGAGGUGGGCGAAGCGGAGGGGCCCGAAUUGGACCCCGCGCGGUACGAGGACGACGAGGCGUAUGCGCGGGCCCUGCAGGAUGCCGAGGAGCGCGAGGUCGCCCAGCGGCUCAUGGCGCUCGCUGGGAUCACUGAUUUAGGGGAAGAGAUGGAGCAUGAUGUUGAAGAUGAGGAAGAUGGGGAUAGCGCACAGGAUGCAUGGGAAGAUGUUGAUCCAGACGAAUACUCGUAUGAGGAGCUGGUUGCAUUGGGUGAAGUGGUCGGUACGGAAAGCAGAGGUGUUUCUGCCAAUACUCUGGCUUCAUUGCCUUUAGUAACUUACCAAGCAGAAGAUAACCAAGACAGCAACAUGGAACAAUGUGUUAUUUGCCGUGUGGAAUUUGAGGAAGGUGAAUCAUUGGUUGCACUUCCUUGCAAGCAUUCAUAUCAUUCUGACUGCAUAAACCAGUGGCUGCAGUUAAACAAGCCAUUGCCAUGUUGCAGGUAUGCCCUAUGUGCAGUGCAGAAGUUUCUACCCCGGGUAACAACGAGCCAUGACAUUCUGUUGUGGUCGUAA
Molecule: ribosomal RNA, 903 nt
Filed under: Triticum aestivum (bread wheat)
Lineage: Eukaryota; Viridiplantae; Streptophyta; Magnoliopsida; Poales; Poaceae
Description: partial small subunit ribosomal RNA
Source: RNAcentral